CCCAAAGAAGAAGGGAUUUUUCCAGUAAGAUUGUUGUUGUAGAGAUCCAAGCUGAUGAGGUUCUUCAGAUUGUCAAGUUCAGAAGGUAUAGUCCCUUCGAUGUUGUUUUUGUACAGCUCCCUGAGUCGAUCAAUUAUAACACAAGUAAUAAAGUUAGUUUACAUUGUUACAAAAUCAAUCUCACAGUUUCAAAAAAAAAAAAAAUCAAUCUCAUAGUGGGUGCUUUAGCUUGCGCUUUAUGGUACGUAACUUUAUUUUCACUAUCUAAUUUUAUCCUAGCUGGUAGUGGAAAAAAAAGUUAAAUUUUUUAUGGAAAAGUGCAAAGCCAAAAGAGUGAUGACAUACAAAUACUGUAAAUGUUCGAGCUUCCCAAGCUCAGGUGCAAGAUGUCCUGAAAGGUUUGAAUUGCCUAAAUCCCUGCCAAAAAUUAAAAAAAAAACGUUGAAUCAGAGAUACACUUUUAAGAGCUAAGAGAUAAGGAGAUGUAAUCAGUUACAACGAAUCCAAGAUUAUUCUAAAAGCGUAAGAAACUCACAGAGUAGGUACUAAAGAGUAAUAUAAAUAAGUAACAAAGCACAGAAAAAAAUCAUGAAGUACAAGCAAAAUUAAUAGAUGGAACAACUAUUGGGGAUUCUUUCGAGCCUUUUAAGGAAUCCAAUGACUAGAGAGAGAGAUAUACACUGUGCAGAACCUGAGAGAGCUUUAGAUUUCCCCCUUUUCAUAAUGGAAUACUGAGCUAGAAAAAUUUCCUUUUUUCUUUAAAAAAAAAUCGUACUCUCUGCAUAUGAAGCUUCGGAAAGGACAAAAUCAUGAACCUUAAAGUCACCCCAUUUUGAAGAAGAAGUGUUUCCAAAGACAAAAGGAAGGCUGAAUCAUCAUCAAAUCAACUAAAUCCACAAUUCCCCACCCCCCCAUUUGAUUUGACAAUAGUUAAAAAGAGAAAACAAACAAAAAGCCAAGCCUGGUGAACUAAUCAAACCCAACUUUCUAUCAUAUGCAAAUAAUAAUCAUCUCAACUUACUACAGUUACAAAUAAUUAUUUUGAAUAUGAACACAAAAUCAAGCAUAGUAGUCUAGUGGCAUGGGAGCUUUGGGUUGUUAACUAACCUAGGUUCAAAGACAUUCCACUAUACUCCAUUGUGUGGCUACAUAGAUAUAACCAAAGGACUACAACCCAUUUGAAUAUUCAGGGAGAGGGUCAAUCCGUAAGUUACAUUUUAGAUUAGUUCGUCUCAAUUCAUGGUCUUUGGAAUACCCCAAAUUAUUAUUUUUUAAACAUGAACACAACCCUACUUGCGAAAAGUAAUGACACAAUAAAGUAUACAACGCACAUUUUCCAUUCUGUUACUUCUUAUUUUUGAAAUUGUGUCCACCUCCACGUGACUAAUAAAGGACUCUGUAUUUUUGCAAUUUAUAUGAUUUGUCCGCAAACUAGCAUGGGCCUAGAUGACGAAUCGCGUAGUCGACUGGACAUGAGUGGUUACAAACCAAACAUCAAUUGUGGUGGAAUCGAACUGAAUGUAUAAUGCUAAAUAAAAUAAAACACCCAAACCCAUAGUUUUUGUUUUAACACGACAGAUCCAUACAAGCAAGUGUUAAUGCAGACAAGAUAAAGAACUUGCUACCAAUACAAAUGUUACAUCUCAGUGUCGCACAACGAACAUUACACUACGCCAAAGGCGCAUGUAUAUAGAUUUUACAAUACACACAGACAGACCUCAGUCUCAAUUGAGACAGAUGAUUACUGAUUCCAACUCUUUUUUUUUUUUCUCAACUAGGACAUAUAUAUACUUAUUACAUAAUAGAAGUGAUAUUUGAUAAAGUGGUGAAGUGUUCUUCCAAGGUCACCCCCUCAUUUCUUGUUUUUCAGGUGUUGCCAGUUGGUUCAGUUGCAGUUGGUGUCGUAGCUUGCAAGACCGAUUAGUUCCGGUCCCUCCAACCUCGAGUUGUUCUCAAAGCUGCAACAAUUGUUUUUGAGUUAUUAGGAUCAAAAUGCUCAUAUGCAACUUUUAUCAGUUUAUAUAGAAUAUCAAAGAAGCUUUGUAAUAUGGGUGAGAAGAUGGAAAAUGGAAGAGGAAACAGUAUCAAGAAACUUCUUGGGCAAGUGCAAGACAAAAGUAACUUACUUCUGCAAAGGAAUGUGUGCAAAGGGUCCUUCCGUUGGGAUAGUUCCACACAAAUCAUUGUUUGAUACAUCACUGAUGAAAUGAUGACAAAUCAAGAGGAAUGAGUCAGUAGGUUGGAGAGACAGCAGCAGAGAGUUUAGCAAAACAAGCACAAAAUGAGAAAGCUGAACUUACACAACUUUAAGGCUUGCGAUUUUGGUGAGCUCUUUAGGGAUUGGACCAGUCAAUUUGUUGUCGUUGAGCCGUCUGCAACAUUAAACAGUUCCUUAAGAGAGGCGAGGUAAGAAGAGAAAGCGUAAGAAGAGAAUCAAGUAGUUUUGUGAAUUAUAGAGUGUAAAACAAGUUACUUUAAUCAGCCCUAUAAUUUGCAAUUUCCAAAGUGUAUCUGUUUCAGGAUCUUAGAACAACUUACAAAAAGACCAGAGACUUCAAUUUUCCCAAAGAAGAAGGGAUUUUUCCAGUAAGAUUGUUGUUGUAGAGAUCCAAGCUGAUGAGGUUCUUCAGAUUGUCAAGUUCAGAAGGUAUAGUCCCUUCGAUGUUGUUUUUGUACAGCUCCCUGAGUCGAUCAAUUAUAACACAAGUAAUAAAGUUAGUUUACAUUGUUACAAAAUCAAUCUCACAGUUUCAAAAAAAAAAAAAA
This 2766-nucleotide long non-coding RNA is filed under the name Brassica napus (rape). RNAcentral describes it as "long non-coding RNA (BNAP_LNC008856)". Lineage: Eukaryota; Viridiplantae; Streptophyta; Magnoliopsida; Brassicales; Brassicaceae. The record is from RNAcentral.